AUUGAACGCUGGCGGCAGGCCUAACACAUGCAAGUCGAGCGGUCGAGCGAAGCUUGCUUCUCUUGAUAGCGGCGGACGGGUGAGUCAUGCCUAGGACUCUGCCUCGUAGGGGGGAAUAACGUUCGUACCCGGACGCUAAUACCUCAUACGUCCUGCGUGCGAUCGCAUGGGACCUGCGACCCUUGCGCUUUCACAUGAGCCUAGGUCGGAUUAGCUAGUUGGUGGGGUAAUGGCUCACCAAGGCGACGAUCCGUAACGGGUCUGAGAGGAUGAUCAGGCACACUGGAACUGAGACACGGUCCAGACUCCUGCGGGAGGCAGCAGUGGGGAAUAUUGGACAAUGGGCGAAAGCCUGAUCCAGCCAUGCCGCGUGUGUGAAGAAGGUCUUCGGAUUGUAAAGCACUUUAAGUUGGGAGGAAGGGCAGUAAAUUAAUACUUUGCUGUGUUGACGUUACCGACAGAAUAAGCACCGGCUAACUCUGUG
RNAcentral lists this ribosomal RNA (484 nucleotides) under uncultured bacterium. Its description in RNAcentral is "partial 16S ribosomal RNA". It matches the Rfam family "Bacterial small subunit ribosomal RNA", at positions 30 to 507 of the family's 1533-position model. The record is from RNAcentral.